AGUGAACGCUGGCGGUAGGCCUAACACAUGCAAGUCGAACGGCAGCACAGUAAGAGCUUGCUCUUACGGGUGGCGAGUGGCGGACGGGGGAGGAAUACAUCGGAAUCUACUUUUUCGUGGGGGAUAACGUAGGGAAACUUACGCUAAUACCGCAUACGACCUACGGGUGAAAGCAGGGAAUCUUCUGGCCUUGCGCGAAUGAAUGAGCCGAUGUCGGAUUAGCUAGUUGGCGGGGUAAAGGCCCACCAAGGCGACGAUCCGUAGCUGGUCUGAGAGGAUGAUCAGCCACACUGGAACUGAGACACGGUCCAGACUCCUACGGGAGGCAGCAGUGGGGAAUAUUGGACAAUGGGGGCAAGCCUGAUCCAGCCAUACCGCGUGGGUGAAGAAGGCCUUCGGGUUGUAAAGCCCUUUUGUUGGGAAAGAAAAGCAGCAGGUUAAUACCCCGCUGUUCUGACGGUACCCAAAGAAUAAGCACCGGCUAACUUCGUG
Molecule: ribosomal RNA, 492 nt
Filed under: uncultured bacterium
Lineage: Bacteria
Description: partial 16S ribosomal RNA
Rfam family: Bacterial small subunit ribosomal RNA
Source: RNAcentral